This is a long non-coding RNA of Sapajus apella (tufted capuchin), 701 nucleotides long. RefSeq lists it as uncharacterized. NCBI's taxonomy places the organism in Eukaryota, Metazoa, Chordata, Mammalia, Primates, Cebidae. The record is from RefSeq and is a predicted model, not a curated record. The transcript is spliced from 3 exons.
CAGACACCUAAUAGGGACACUCAAUAAAUAUUAAUUAAAGAAUGCAGCCACAUUGGCUUACGCGCUGGCCAGAUCCUUUAAAGUGUCAAGAAUAUUCCAUGAGAGAUUGAGUGUUAGGCUGGAAGGCUAUGUGGAGGCGGAGAGGACAGAAACGUAUGGAGUAAUGGAGUGCAUUCUCUUGGAAGAUGAAAAUACCCACCCGCCCCAGGGGGAACCUAUCUGUCACUGUCACAAGCACAUAAGGAGGAAGGGAACGUGCGCUUGUGGAGUGCCUUCUGGGACCUGCAUUUUUCUUGCUGGAGUGGGAUUUAUUCUGCUUCUCCUGUAACUUCUGCAUCUCCAAGGCCAGUGGCUGACAAUAGGGAAGAGCUGGUUGAGACCAAGGAUUAACGUCAGAGAGUUUCUUCAUCAUCUCCAUCAUCAAAUUUCACUUAACAUGCUCUGCCCAUUCCAAGAGAAAAAGAGGAAUGAACGUGAGCUCUAUUUGGACAUACAGCCAUUUAGUCCAAAAAUGCAGCCGGCAGAGAUUCCACAGCUGGAGAGCUGACUGGAGAAAACUGCCUUCUGAGGGAGAUACCCUCCCAGAACCCACUGCAGGGACCUCACUUUCAUCACUGACUUCCUAUGGCUUGGGAGUGUUUAUAGAUAAAGUUAUACUCUUAGGUGAUAAAUGUAGCGUGGGUAUUGAAAGUUAGCUCGAA